UACGGAGGGUGCAAGCGUUAAUCGGAAUUACUGGGCGUAAAGCGCACGCAGGCGGUCUGUCAAGUCGGAUGUGAAAUCCCCGGGCUUAACCUGGGAACUGCAUUCGAAACUGGCAGGCUAGAGUCUCGUAGAGGGGGGUAGAAUUCCAGGUGUAGCGGUGAAAUGCGUAGAGAUCUGGAGGAAUACCGGUGGCGAAGGCGGCCCCCUGGACGAAGACUGACGCUCAGGUGCGAAAGCGUGGGGAGCAAACAGG
Molecule: ribosomal RNA, 253 nt
Filed under: uncultured bacterium
Lineage: Bacteria
Description: partial 16S ribosomal RNA
Rfam family: Bacterial small subunit ribosomal RNA
Source: RNAcentral